AAAUGAAUAGACGGGGGCCCGCACAAGCGGAGGAACAUGUGGUUUAAUUCGAUGAUACGCGAGGAACCUUACCCGGGCUCGAACGGUGCAUGAAUGGACAAGAGAUUGUUCAGACCUUAGGGACAUGUAUCGAGGUGCUGCAUGGUUGUCGUCAGCUCGUGCCGUGAGGUGUCGGCUUAAGUGCCAUAACGAGCGCAACCCUUGUCAUUAGUUACCAUCAGGUAGAGCUGGGGACUCUAAUGAGACUGCCACCGUAAGGUGAGAGGAAGGGGGGGAUGACGUCAAAUCAGCACGGCCCUUAUGUCCGGGGCGACACACGUGUUACAAUGGGGGGUACAGAGGGCAGCCAUCCGGCGACGGAGCGCCAAUCUCAAAAACCCUUCUCAGUUCGGAUUGGAGUCUGCAACUCGACUCCAUGAAGUUGGAUUCGCUAGUAAUCGCGCAUCAGCCAUGGCGCGGUGAAUACGUUCCCGGGCCUUGUACACACCGCCCGU
This 494-nucleotide ribosomal RNA is filed under the name uncultured bacterium. RNAcentral's name for it is "bacterial SSU rRNA". It matches the Rfam family "Bacterial small subunit ribosomal RNA", at positions 903 to 1397 of the family's 1533-position model. The record is from RNAcentral.